AGAUUUGAUUUAAUUUUUAUUUCCUUCCUUUUGAAUACACUCCUUAAAAUUCUUUUUUUAGGGAUCAAAGUGUUUCAAAUCGUUUACUGUGAAGAAAUUAGAGUGUUCAAAGCAGGCGUAACCUAGCCUUUGAAUAUAUUAGCAUGGGAUAAUGAAAUAGGACUUUAGUUCUACUUUCGUUGGUUUCUAGGGCUGAAGUAAUGAUUAAUAGGGAUAGUUGGGGUCACUAGUAUUUAAUUGUCAGAGGUGAAAUUCUAAGAUUUAUUAAAGACUAACUACUGCGAAAGCAUUUGACAAGGAUGUUUUCAUUAAUCAAGAACGAAAGUUGGGGGAUCGAAGAUGAUCAGAUACCGUCGUAGUCUCAACCAUAAACUAUGCCGACCAAGGAUCCGGGGUUGUUAAUAUGGAUGACUCUCCGGGCACUUAUAGAGAAAUCAUAAGUAUUUGGGCUCCGGGGGGAGUAUGGUCGCAAGGCUGAAACUUAAAGGAAUUGACGGAAGGGCACCACAAGGAGUGGAACCUGCGGUUUAAUUUGACUCAACACGGGAAAACUUACCAGGUCCAGACACAGUGAGGAUUGACAGAUUGAGAGUUCUUUCUUGAUUCUGUGAGUGGUGGUGCAUGGCCGUUUCUAGUUGGUGGAGUGAUUUGUCUGGUUAAUUCCGUUAACGAACGAGACCUUAACCUAUUAAAUAGUUAUUUAAACUUGAUUUCUCGUAAAUCAAAUGUUUAACUAACUUCUUAGAGGGACUCUUCAC
RNAcentral lists this ribosomal RNA (758 nucleotides) under uncultured eukaryote. RNAcentral describes it as "bacterial SSU rRNA". It matches the Rfam family "Eukaryotic small subunit ribosomal RNA", at positions 669 to 1427 of the family's 1831-position model. The record is from RNAcentral.